This 253-nucleotide ribosomal RNA is filed under the name uncultured bacterium. RNAcentral describes it as "partial 16S ribosomal RNA". It matches the Rfam family "Bacterial small subunit ribosomal RNA", at positions 524 to 776 of the family's 1533-position model. The record is from RNAcentral.
UACAGAGGGUGCGAGCGUUAAUCGGAAUUACUGGGCGUAAAGCGCACGUAGGUGGCGACGUAAGUCGGGUGUGAAAGCCUCGGGCUCAACCUGGGAAUUGCAUUCGAGACUGCAUUGCUGGAGUACGGAAGAGGAGGGCGGAAUUCCCGGUGUAGCGGUGAAAUGCGUAGAUAUCGGGAGGAACAUCAGUGGCGAAGGCGGCCCUCUGGUCCAGUACUGACACUCAAGUGCGAAAGCGUGGGGAGCAAACAGG